GAUGAACGCUGGCGGCGUGCCUAAUACAUGCAAGUCGAGCGAACGGACGAGAAGCUUGCUUCUCUGAUGUUAGCGGCGGACGGGUGAGUAACACGUGGAUAACCUACCUAUAAGACUGGGAUAACUUCGGGAAACCGGAGCUAAUACCGGAUAAUAUUUUGAACCGCAUGGUUCAAAAGUGAAAGACGGUCUUGCUGUCACUUAUAGAUGGAUCCGCGCUGCAUUAGCUAGUUGGUAAGGUAACGGCUUACCAAGGCAACGAUGCAUAGCCGACCUGAGAGGGUGAUCGGCCACACUGGAACUGAGACACGGUCCAGACUCCUACGGGAGGCAGCGGUAGGGAAUCUUCCGCAAUGGGCGGAAGCCUGACGGAGCAACGCCGCGUGAGUGAUGAAGGUCUUCGGAUCGUAAAACUCUGUUAUUAGGGAAGAACAUAUGUGUAAGUAACUGUGCACAUCUUGACGGUACCUAAUCAGAAAGCCACGGCUAACUACGUG
Molecule: ribosomal RNA, 497 nt
Filed under: uncultured bacterium
Lineage: Bacteria
Description: partial 16S ribosomal RNA
Rfam family: Bacterial small subunit ribosomal RNA
Source: RNAcentral